Molecule: ribosomal RNA, 253 nt
Filed under: uncultured bacterium
Lineage: Bacteria
Description: partial 16S ribosomal RNA
Rfam family: Bacterial small subunit ribosomal RNA
Source: RNAcentral
UACGAAGGGGGCUAGCGUUGUUCGGAAUUACUGGGCGUAAAGCGCACGUAGGCGGGUCGUUAAGUCAGGGGUGAAAUCCCGGAGCUCAACUCCGGAACUGCCUUUCAUACUGGCGAUCUUGAGUCCGGAAGAGGUGAGUGGAACUCCUAGUGUAGAGGUGGAAUUCGUAGAUAUUAGGAAGAACACCAGUGGCGAAGGCGGCUCACUGGUCCGGUACUGACGCUGAGGUGCGAAAGCGUGGGGAGCAAACAGG